Long non-coding RNA from Cephus cinctus (wheat stem sawfly), 1963 nucleotides. RefSeq lists it as uncharacterized. NCBI's taxonomy places the organism in Eukaryota, Metazoa, Arthropoda, Insecta, Hymenoptera, Cephidae. The record is from RefSeq and is a predicted model, not a curated record. The transcript has 3 exons.
CAGUGAUGCAAUUCAGAUCGAAUCUCGUUCCCAGCCGAUAAGUACGAUCCUGCUGGAUCGCGCGAGAAGUGUUAAAAAAUAGUGAAAAAAAAUAGAAAGAAGUAAGGAAUUAGUAGGUUCGACCAUAAAAUGGCCUUGGCGACCUGUCAGUAUCCCUCGUGGGCAGGGGUUGGCUCGAGAAUAAUUUAAAGGCGUUAAUAAAAUACAAACACGGUUAGGGAAUGUUUAUGGGACCCCGUGGAGGUAGGGAAGCAACGUUGUGACUCAGCGUGCACGUGGAUGACGUAAGAGGGUUAGGGUCCUGACCAACCAAGCCAUGAACGUUAAGGGACAUGCCGGGGGAUUUGAGUCCCCCUUGACUCAAAGAGGGACGUCAAAGGGAUGCAUAACUCUCGGUCACGCAUUGUGCGUGGGUAGACUGGAAACCUGACGGUAAAUAUAUGGACAAAAUUAAAUCGUCUUUUACUCGGUCAGCCUAACCUACAAUGUCUCAUUCGAUAUCCACGUAUACGUAUAACCGAGGAGAAUCGCAUAUCGGUCAUAAAGUUCGACGUUGAAAAAUCUUCUUUUUUAAAAUUCAUAAUUUCUUUAACUCACGUGCACGCUUUUACCUACAUAUAUUUUACAGUUAACAAGAAGCCUCCGGUGCUGAGCUAUUCACGUGUCCCUUAUUUCUCGUUCGUUCUCGGAUGUGUCUUCCUAGUUUUUUGUCUCUCUUCUCCCCUUCCGAGCCCUUAACCUUGAAAGGCAGAGACUCUAUAUUUGGUCGGGAGCUCAGGCCCAAUCAGUGCACAGGAAUGCAUCGCAUAGACAGAAGUCAUCUGUGGUAUAAUCGCAAAGUGGAAUCGUGCUCGACGCAAAGUCUCGAAGGAUAACCAGGAUUGCGUAAGAUCCUACUGUUGUUGUAUAUCUAUGGCUGUUAACUGCGGUACGGAAAGGUCCCUGGCUCCUUGGCAAUGGCGCAAUCCAGCCAGCCGUGGCUGCCUACACACGUAUCACAACACCGAUUCCGCGUUACACAAGGGACAGGUGCAGCACCGGGAGUAAGUAGCUGUGUCGAGUUCCUCACCCUGAACCACGUGACGUCGUCCGAUCUUCGUAGGUUUUGAAAUUUUUUUUUAUUUUUCAUCAUUUUUUUUUCUUUCCAAUACCAUCCAGGUCUGUGACUGCCAUAUUGAAUAUUCUUUGAUCUGUCACCUGCGCGGGGAGCACGCGAUGAUUUGGUCAAAUGACAUUCAGUUUGUUUGAUUAGGGUGAGGUUCUUGGCGAAAUGUCUACUGCAUGUACGUAGCUGCUGAAUUGUUAUUAAAAUUAUUUUAUUAUUUUCGUAUUUCGCCAAACUUUGUUGAGUCUAAAUAAUUACGACGUGACGUAAUUCGGCACACGCUUGUCGCACUGUUUGCCGUCGUUAUUCUCUUUGCCAUGAUCACAUACCGACCAUCAUUAUCUUGGUAGGAGGAUCAAUGGGCUCUCUGGGGAUUUCGUCAUUGCUCGGCAUACCCUCCUUGGGAUCCCUUCCAGUCGGUGUUUAGUCUGAACACUAAAAUCUGAAAUGUAGGGAGAAACUGAGAGGGUGAGCUAUCUUUAUCUUGGGUUAUGAGGGGGACUCGCAUCCGGUUACGUACCUAGACCCUUUCCGCAGUCUCCGUAUUUCCUUGUGUCUUUUAAUAUAUAAUGCAUCUGCCAUUUUGUUAUUUUCUCUAUUUUCAGUCAUACUGAUAUUUUAAUUAACUUAGACAACUUCAACUGACAGUCGCAUUAGAAUCUCUUACAGUUUCUGAUCAAAAAUUGUGCACUGAGUAUUCUAGUAUUUAACGAAAGACCGUAUGCUACCGCCAUCUCGCGGUGAAACUCGGAACCCUGUGGACAAGUAGCUCUUCUCGUUUAUACAAAAUAAGAUAGCCUACGUUAGACACAACAAUUUCGAAAUUAAAGUGAAUUGUUUUUUAUUCGAAUAUUUGCU